AUUUGGAAGUCUUAUACAGCUAGGGUUACUAGAUGGGUAGACUAAAAUAUCUGGGCAAAUUUUCAAAAAGUCGGGAUUUUGGGAUUAGGGUCGGGACCAACGGGACAAAUAAAUGUUAAGAAAUAUAAAAAAAAUCACUUUUUAUUAUAAAAAUUUAAAUCACAAAAACAAUAAACAAAAUUACUUUUUAUUA
Molecule: long non-coding RNA, 193 nt
Organism: Melitaea cinxia (Glanville fritillary)
Lineage: Eukaryota; Metazoa; Arthropoda; Insecta; Lepidoptera; Nymphalidae
Exons: 3
Source: RefSeq, a predicted model, not a curated record